This 775-nucleotide ribosomal RNA is filed under the name uncultured Neocallimastigales. RNAcentral describes it as "partial large subunit ribosomal RNA". It matches the Rfam family "Eukaryotic large subunit ribosomal RNA", at positions 24 to 639 of the family's 3401-position model. The record is from RNAcentral. Lineage: Eukaryota; Fungi; Neocallimastigomycota; Neocallimastigomycetes; Neocallimastigales.
UAUGUGAUCGUCUCUCGCAUAUCAAUAAGCGGAGGAAAAGAAACUAACAAGGAUUCCCCUAGUAACGGCGAGUGAAGCGGGAAGAGCUCAAAUUUGAAAUCUUAAAGGGUUUCCCUUUACGAAUUGUAGUUUAAAGAAGUGUUUUCUGUUGAGGUUUUGGUAAAAGUUCUUUGGAAUAGGACAUCAUAGAGGGUGAGAAUCCCGUAUUUGACCUUUACUUUCAACUUUGUGAUACACUUUCAAAGAGUCGGAUUGUUUGGGAAUGCAGUCCAAAAUGGGUGGUAAAUUUCAUCUAAAGCUAAAUAUUGGCGAGAGACCGAUAGCGAACAAGUACCGUGAGGGAAAGAUGAAAAGAACUUUGAAAAGAGAGUUAAACAGUACGUGAAAUUGUCAAAAGGGAAGCGUUUGACACCAGUGUUGUUUUUCUGAAAAUCAAUUAAAGAACUGUUUAUGCUAAGCUUGUUUAGACUUUAUCAGCUAACUGUUUAGUUUUGAGCUUUUCUUUAAUGCACUUUUCAGUUAACAAGUCAACAUCAAUUUCUUUUGCUGUAAAAAAGCUUGAGGAAGGUGGCUUGAGAUUCGUCUUAAGUGUUUAUAGCCUCUUGCCUAUGCAGUCGGAGAGAUUGAGGUCUGCAGCGUAGAUCCUUCGGGGCUAAAUGCAUUUGUGCUAAGUUAUAGCAUUUUAUAGACAACUUGUUGACUAUGAUUUGUCUUGUAGCUUACUCGCUUAUGUUAUUUUACCUACGCUUAGGAUGUUGACGCGCGUGUGUGCGUG